GGUAAACGAGAGAAGAUAGUUUCCGGAAAGAUAGUUCAAGAUAAAAAUAUACCAGAAAUCGGAAACUGUAUUUUCUAUGCAAAGUUCUAAAGCUGCUUGUUAAACGACGAACUGGAAAGGGGAACGGUGACCUAAAGAGAGAGACGUUUUUAACGGCGAUGUCAACCGAAUUAGACAAAGCGAUGAAAGAUUAUGAGGCGGCGUGUGCAAACCUUCGGGAGGAGGUUGCGGGGCUGAUGGAGAGACUUCACACAUUGACGCAUUAUCAGAGGAGCCUUCUGACAACCAACUCACUACUGGUGUCCUGGCUGCAGAACGCAGAAGCACUUUGGAAGCACAGGAAAGAGAGUCACCUGGUUUCUGACUCCUAACACACACAACCUGUUGUGACAGAGUGGUGGGGCAGCUGCAGUGUUUGCAGAAUGUACCAUGAGACUUUCAGCCCACAUACACAGGGCCCGAUGCUCUCUCCCAGAUCACUGACAAACUCUGCAUGCAGAUCUACUUUGCCUUGAGCACUUGUGUUGAAAGCACAUUA
Long non-coding RNA from Megalops cyprinoides (Indo-Pacific tarpon), 538 nucleotides. RefSeq lists it as uncharacterized. NCBI's taxonomy places the organism in Eukaryota, Metazoa, Chordata, Actinopteri, Elopiformes, Megalopidae. The record is from RefSeq and is a predicted model, not a curated record. The transcript is spliced from 3 exons.